This 76-nucleotide transfer RNA is filed under the name Roseibium litorale. RNAcentral describes it as "tRNA-Lys". It matches the Rfam family "tRNA". Rfam says of the family: Transfer RNA (tRNA) molecules are approximately 80 nucleotides in length. The record is from RNAcentral. Lineage: Bacteria; Pseudomonadati; Pseudomonadota; Alphaproteobacteria; Hyphomicrobiales; Stappiaceae.
GGGUGUAUAGCUCAGUUGGUAGAGCAUCUGACUCUUAAUCAGACGGUCCUGGGUUCGAAUCCCCGUGCACCCACCA